Molecule: ribosomal RNA, 719 nt
Filed under: uncultured bacterium
Lineage: Bacteria
Description: bacterial SSU rRNA
Rfam family: Bacterial small subunit ribosomal RNA
Source: RNAcentral
AGAGUUUGAUCAUGGCUCAGAUUGAACGCUGGCGGCAUGCCUUACACAUGCAAGUCGAACGGCAGCAUGAUCUAGCUUGCUAGAUUGAUGGCGAGUGGCGAACGGGUGAGUAAUACAUCGGAACGUGCCCUGUAGUGGGGGAUAACUAGCCGAAAGAUUAGCUAAUACCGCAUACGACCUGAGGGUGAAAGUGGGGGACCGCAAGGCCUCAUGCUAUAGGAGCGGCCGAUGUCUGAUUAGCUAGUUGGUGAGGUAAAGGCUCACCAAGGCGACGAUCAGUAGCUGGUCUGAGAGGACGAUCAGCCACACUGGGACUGAGACACGGCCCAGACUCCUACGGGAGGCAGCAGUGGGGAACUUUGGACAAUGGGCGAAAGCCUGAUCCAGCAAUGCCGCGUGUGUGAAGAAGGCCUUCGGGUUGUAAAGCACUUUUGUCCGGAAAGAAAUGGCUCUGGUUAAUACCUGGGGUCGAUGACGGUACCGGAAGAAUAAGGACCGGCUAACUACGUGCCAGCAGCCGCGGUAAUACGUAGGGUCCAAGCGUUAAUCGGAAUUACUGGGCGUAAAGCGUGCGCAGGCGGUUGUGCAAGACCGAUGUGAAAUCCCCGAGCUUAACUUGGGAAUUGCAUUGGUGACUGCACGGCUAGAGUGUGUCAGAGGGGGGUAGAAUUCCACGUGUAGCAGUGAAAUGCGUAGAGAUGUGGAGGAAUACCGAUGGC